Non-coding RNA from Heterocephalus glaber (naked mole-rat), 2457 nucleotides. NCBI's taxonomy places the organism in Eukaryota, Metazoa, Chordata, Mammalia, Rodentia, Bathyergidae. The record is from RefSeq and is a predicted model, not a curated record.
GCUUUAGAGAUGUCUCCAUGCUUAAUUACAAACACCCAUAGGGCUGUGCUGUCGUUUCCUACCCCACCCCCUUCCUCCUCUUACUCUAUUGGAGAACUCUUCUCCCAGCCACGCUUUCCGCGGAGCCAGGUUCCUCCUCUGCCUCCUGCUUUUCUCCAGCCACCGUCUCGUUUUGGGAAAGCGAAAGCCGUAGCUUUCUCCAGUCUUCCCUCCCUCCCUCUUUUCCUUCCUUCCUUCCUUCCUUCCUUCCUUCCUUCCUUCCUUCCUUCCUUCCUUCCUUCCUCCCUCCCACCCUUCCUUUCUUCCUUGCUUUCUUGCUUCCUCCCUCCUUUUUUUUUUUUAUUCCCUCCUCCACUUCUUGUCAUGCCAGAUGCCUAUGAAAUGGUAAUAUGGUGCCAUUAGGCGGCUCAGACUUCAAACUGUCUUAGAAAAGGGAAAAAUUUGCCUCUGUAAGUAGAAACUAGAGUUGAGAGACUUGGCUCUCUCGGAGCUCUAGCUAAAGGUGGAAAGGUGAUAAGGGUCCCAUCCUAUAAACUAUUGUUAAUGUUUGGAGACAGCGGGGGAUUUGUUGCCUUUAUACAUACAGAAUUGCUUUGACUUAUUCAAGGACUACAGUUCUGCAACCCUCACUUCAAAAUUUCUGGCAUCUCUUAGGUGGGAAAUAAGUUCGAGUUCGUUGUUUUUGCUGCAGGUCAAGGUGACAUAAGGCAAGAGCCAAAGAGAAGAUCAGCUAGACUGUUUGCGGAGAAAGUAAGACUGGAGGUGUAUCUCAGUGAUAGAGAAUUUACCUAGCACACAUGUGUGUCUGAAUUGGAUCCCCAGUAAGUGCUGAGGCAAAAGGCACUAGCUCUUAAAAAAGAAAUUAAGGAAAUAAAAGAUGAAAAAAUGAUGACACUAGAAAAGAGGGAGGAGAAAAGAAAGAAGCAGUGACAGCAGAAGAAAGACAAGAUGUAAAAGAUCAGAAAAACAAGGAAGAUCAAAGUAAAGAAGAGAAAGAAGAUGAAACAUGAGGUCAAGAGGGAAAAGAGGACAAAGAAAUAAGAAAGGAGAAGAUGGAGAAAGGGAAGAUUACCAAAAUGAAAAAAGAGAUCAAGAGGAUGAAGAUGGAGAAGGGAAAAAAGAGGAAAAACAUGGAAAAGAAAAAGGAGGUGAUGAAAAUGACGAUGAAAAAGAGAAAGGAGGUGGGAAAGAGAAGGAAGAUGGAAAAAAGGAUAAAGAUGGAAAAGAGAAAGGAGAUAAAGAAAAGAAAUAUGAAAAAGAGAGACAUGGACAGGAAGAUGAAGUUGGAAAUGCAGAAGAAGAUGGAAAGGAAAAAGAAAAAGAUGGAAAAGAGGCAGAAGGAAAAGACAAAGAAGAUGUAAAAGAACAUGGAAGAAGAGAUGAGAAAGAUAUGAGAGAUAAAGAGAAAGAUGAAAACAAACCUGAAGUUGGAAAUGAAGCUGAAAUAGAAGUUGAAAAAGAUAGAAAAGAGAGUCUGAAUAUUGUUUAAAACUGCCCUAUAUAGUUUCAUAAUACAUUUGGUAAAAUGUAGCUUCAUGCAAUAUUAAAAGAGAUAAAUACUUUAUCACAUAUUUUAUAAGCACUACUUUUCUGACAUUUCACGUCACAUACUUUUUAUUAGUCACAAAAUGCCUAACAUGAAAUUGAAUCUAAAAAUUUAUGACAAUAGUAGUGGAAUAUAUAAUAAAUAUGCUUUCAAAUUUGUCAGUGAAUUUUGCUUUCUGUAUAUUCUGUUUCAAUCUUUGAACUUGAAUUAUAUAUAUAUGAAUAUAUGAGUGAUAGAAUACAGAAUGAUAGUUUCACAAUGUAGGGGAUUUUCAAAAGAAAAAGUUUCAUGCAACAUUCUUAUGGUUCUCUAAAUCACUUGUACAAAGAAGGCAAACCAUUUUCAUUUAAUGCUAUGAGUUAGCAGUGUGUUUCCUAAGUAUAAUUUUACUAAUAACAUUGAAAAAUAUAAAAUUGUAAUUUUGUUUUUCAAAGAAAUACAAACAUUUAUUUCAGAAAGCUAGUUUCAAUUGUAUGUGUUUGUGAAGUUUUCCUACAAUGCACAAUUUUUUACUGGAUGUAUCUUAAUUAAAAAGACUCUUCAAAGAUGAUUGUAGUUUGUUAUAUCUCAAAACUGUGUCUAGUGAAACAUUAUAACUCUAAAUUUUUAUAUUGUGAUGUUCAUGACAGCAUAUAAAAUUUUUCAUUGAGAUACAAUUAUCAUAAUAUUCUCUACUUUAGUAAUUUCUAAGGGUGAAGUUCAUUGUUUUUAGUAUGUUCAUAAUGCUUUGCAAUCAUCACAUCUGUCUACUUCCAGAGCAUUUUCAUCACUCAAAUAAAAAGCAAAAGUACUCAUGAAUAGUUUCUCCUUUUUCUCAUCAACUACACACCACCCUCCAUUAUCUGCCAAUGAUUUCAAGUUCUGUGAAAUUGCCAAAUUUGAAUAGUUCAAAUAAAUAGAAUCAUGAAAUA